UACGUUUACCGCAUAAGCCGGGGUUCGGUGGAGAGGCCGACAGUCGCGGAAUUACCAGCCAGGAAGUGUGUUGCGAUGCGGGGUUCGAAACGGCGGACUCCGGCUCCGCCAACUGGUGGCAGCUCCCCCUGCGUCAAGAAACCCCACUACAACGCUCCGUUGAAGCAUAAGAGGGAGGAGUAUGCCCCACACAGUAACCUGCCUAAGGAUGUCAGUGAAGAGACGAGCCAGUUCGUGCCGGAGCUUCCGCUGCACCAGCAGCGGCCACCUUGGCUGCAGGACCCGCCCGUG
Molecule: long non-coding RNA, 291 nt
Organism: Pollicipes pollicipes
Lineage: Eukaryota; Metazoa; Arthropoda; Thecostraca; Pollicipedomorpha; Pollicipedidae
Exons: 3
Source: RefSeq, a predicted model, not a curated record